UCUACGGUGGCUAAAGUGGUUAAAGAGUCCACCUCGGAUGCGGGUGGUUGCGGGUUCGAACCCCGGCUGAUUCAUACCAAAG
Non-coding RNA from Potamilus streckersoni, 82 nucleotides. The record is from the annotation of a GenBank genome assembly. NCBI's taxonomy places the organism in Eukaryota, Metazoa, Mollusca, Bivalvia, Unionida, Unionidae.